CCCUCUUUGCACGGAACAGCCAUAGAAACCUUUUUAUUUCGUUUUCAAUGUACUUCCAAAUUUCUUACAUAAUUUAGUAUUUUAAAAAAGGAGUUUCUCUAAAAUUAAUUUUUGAAUACACAAAAGCAUAUAUAUAUAUAUAUAAACCCAAAAAUAGUGUUAAUUUAAUUUUUCAUGCAUAUUUUAAUAUAAAUUUGUUAGGAUUAUUUUAUAAAUUUGAAGUAAAAUAUUUGCGUUUUUAUUGUGACAAGAAAUAAAACGAGCUAGAAACGCCGAAAAAAAAAAAAAAAAAACGUUUCUUUACCUCCCAAAUAGUCGUUGGUCGUUAAGUCGUUGAGAACUAGGCGUGCGAAGUGGAGGAGAGAGCGAGACGUUAGAUGUUUCGUCCAAGAAGACGUGGUUCGUUUGGAUGGUUUUCAACUUUUCUUGCUCCUUUUCAUAGUCUUUUUCUGUCAAAAGGCUUACACAACAGCUUGGCCUUGGUAGAAGACACUUGCACUGAUUUGUUGCGUGGAUAUGCCCAAACCUCUAAUUUACCCCAUGGAAGAGCAAUCCAUGCUAAAUUCCUUAAAGGGUCGCUUCCAUUUUCCCCUUUCCUCCAUAAUCAUUUACUUAAUAUGUAUUUAAAAUGUGGGGAUAUUUUUGAUGGGGUCCAACUGUUCGAAGAAAUGCCUAGCAAGAAUGUUGUAUCUUGGUCUGCUGUUAUUACGGGUUUUGUUCAUUAUGGGUAUCCUAAAGAUGCCCUUUCUCUCUUCUGUGGGAUGCUUCGCGAUGGGACGGUGAAACCGAAUGAAUUCACGCUCGUCGGUGCACUUCAUGCCAUUUCGUUGAAUGAGAAUAUGUCUCAAGCUUGUUACCAGAUUUAUGCACUUGUUGUUCGGUUGGGAUUUGAGUGGAAUACAUUCUUGACGAACUCGUUUUUGACUGCUCUGACAAGGCAUGGUAAGUUGGAAGAGGCUUUGGAAGUUUUUGAGAAGUGUUUGGAUAAGAAUAUUGUGUCUUGGAAUGCUAUGAUUGCUGCCUAUGUUCAGUUUUCAUUUUCGGAACUUCCUAGAUUCUGGUACCGGAUGAACCAUGAGGGUGUGUGUCCUGACCACUUUACAUUUUCUAGCGUUCUCACUGGGUUGGCUGCUCUUUCUGAUCUUAAGAUGGGUCUGCAAGUUCAUGGGAAGCUUGUAAAGUAUGGCCUUGGGGCUGAGACUAUCAUAGGGAAUUCUUUGGUGGAUAUGUAUAUUAAGAAUCAGAAGUUGGUUGAUGGUUUCAAAGCUUUUUAUGAGAUGCCAUCAAGAGAUGUGUGCUCUUGGACCGAAAUGGCUGCUGGCUGCCUUCAAUGUGGGGAACCAAGCAGAGCGCUUGAUGUAGUUGCUCAAAUGAGGAAAAUGGGUGUACUGCCCAACAAAUUUACCUUUGCAACUGCCCUGAACGCCUGUGCUAAUUUGGCUUCUUUGGAAGAAGGGAAGAAAAUUCAUGGUUUGAGAAUUAAACUUGGAACAGAAAUUGAUGUCUGUGUUGAUAAUGCACUGGUAGAUAUGUAUGCAAAAUGUGGAUGCAUGAAUGAUGCAUGGGAUGCUUUUCGAUCAAUGAAUUAUCGUUCUGUCAUCUCUUGGACAACGAUGAUCACGGGUUGUGCACAGAAUGGCCAAGCUAGAGAAGCUCUUGAGAUUUUUGAGAAGAUGAGGAUGGAAGGAGUUGAACCAAAUGACAUCACCUUGAUUUGUGUACUUUAUGCUUGUAGCCAAGGAGGGUUUAUUGAUGAAGGAUGGAAAUAUUUCUCUUCCAUGACUCGUGACCAUGGAAUAUGUCCUGGAGAAGAUCAUUAUGCAUGUAUGGUAAAUCUUCUAGGUCGAGCUGGACAUACAAAAGAAGCAGAGGAAUUAAUCCUGAAAAUGCCUUUUCAACCAGGUGUGCUGGUUUGGCAAACUUUACUUGGUGCUUGUCAGGUUCAUGGGGAUACAGAAACUGGGAAACGUGCAGCAGAGCAUGCAUUAGAACUAGAUAGAAAAGACCCAUCAACAUAUGUUUUGUUAUCAAAUAUGCAUGCUGGUAUUAGCAAUUGGGAUGGUGCAGGAAUGCUGAGAGAACUGAUGGAGAUUAGAGAUGUACAAAAAAUGCCAGGAUCCAGUUGGAUUGAAGUAGAAAAUAGUCGAUUGCUAUCUGCACUUGAAGGAUCUGCAUAAAUGAAGGGUGAUUGAGAAGGGUGAGGCAUUCUCUUCCUCAUCACUGCUGCUUUAUUCUUGGAAGUUUCUAAUUUGCCCCAAAGAUAGAAGGUGAGAAAGGCAUACUUGAAGUCCUACAGAGGAUUACAGAUUUUGGCGGUCCUGAUCACUUUACAAACUACUUAGAGCAGCAAAUAACAGAACGAAAUUGAAAAUUGAACGCAAAAUAAUGAAAUAGUAAAUGAAAGGUAGUUACUGGGAGAGAAAAUUGGGCAAGUGAAUGAAAGUGGACACAUCUCGAUGGAGCUCAACGAACACCAUAUUGGCAAACCAUCAAUUCCUUAUGCGAGGGAUGUGGGAAAUAUUGGGUCAAUCUUCUCCUAUCUGUCUCCGGCACCUUUGUGUCGACAAAGGACAGUAGUUGAUAUACAAUUGCGAAAGAGACGUGAGCAGCCCUUCUUCUGGCAAGCACUGCAGCUCAUCACAGCUAGAAAUCUCCAAUUGUUGAAAGGAAAAGAGGUGUCGAUAGGCAUUUCCGCUAACGGCUUUAAUGUGUGGAAAUGAUUUGAUUUUGAGCUUAAUGAGAGUGGUGGGCAGCAGCCGCUCCUCUGGAAAUGAAUCCAACACUACUACAUCAAUGCCGCUGAUGCAUAAACUUGUAAGAGAAGUGAGUCUUUGUAUAUCACAUUGUCUGCGGCUUGCAAACAAUUUAUUGCACUUGUCAAUACUAAGAUGAUUUAAAUUAGAGGGCUAUCUGCAUUCUGGAAAUGACUCCAGUUCUGGAAAAUUAGAUAUAGACAGGAUUCCAAGAGAGGGAAGAAGGGUCUGCAAUUUUUCUCUCUUGGUACUUCCCACAUAUCGCUAUUUAGUAUCUUCUCCCACUCAUUUGGAUUUAGUUGAUGAUGUAAGGAACUGCCAAGUGAUUUUACCACUAAAGGAAGACCUUUGCAUCUUUCUACAAUAUAUCUACCGAUUUCUUCUA
Molecule: RNA transcript, 3138 nt
Organism: Ziziphus jujuba (common jujube)
Lineage: Eukaryota; Viridiplantae; Streptophyta; Magnoliopsida; Rosales; Rhamnaceae
Gene name: pentatricopeptide repeat-containing protein At2g13600-like
Exons: 4
Source: RefSeq, a predicted model, not a curated record